Long non-coding RNA from Rhineura floridana, 475 nucleotides. RefSeq lists it as uncharacterized. Lineage: Eukaryota; Metazoa; Chordata; Lepidosauria; Squamata; Rhineuridae. The record is from RefSeq and is a predicted model, not a curated record. The transcript has 4 exons.
AAGCUGACCUAUCAUAAAUCCUUGUGAUGAGAAACCUGUCUCACCUGGCUUCCAAGCAGCUGCGGCAGAGGAAAUGUGCUUUAACCUUUCUAGAGAAAAGACUCGUGGGACAUAAUUGAAGGAAAGUGUUUUUCUUUAGCAGAUGGAUUGCUUUGAUAUCAAUGGUCUCAGCAGUAAUAAUGACAACACACAUCCUUGAAAUCCUUGUCCAGAUGUCCAUAGUUUCUGCCCUGAUGGAUAUUUUGAAGAUGACUAUACAGCCCUCUGGACUCUGGACAUCUCAGCUGCCUGUGUUGGCCCUGCUGCCUCCACUGUGUCCACCCUCCACAAUUACCCAAGAGAGAAUGUGGUCCUUGACAGAAAACCCCCCUCAGAUAAGGCUUACUUCUGAGUCGAUAUGUCGAUUCAGCUUUGUUUGAAACCAGCUCCUAAGGUGAAAGUAAAACCUACAUUGGUUACAGCAUGCUUACGAUUU